GACGAACGCUGGCGGCGUGCCUAAUACAUGCAAGUCGAGCGCAGGAAAUCGACGGAACCCUUCGGGGGGAAGUCGACGGAAUGAGCGGCGGACGGGUGAGUAACACGUAAAGAACCUGCCCUCAGGUCUGGGAUAACCACGAGAAAUCGGGGCUAAUACCGGAUGGGUCAUCGGACCGCAUGGUCCGAGGAUGAAAGGCGCUUCGGCGUCGCCUGGGGAUGGCUUUGCGGUGCAUUAGCUAGUUGGUGGGGUAAUGGCCAACCAAGGCGACGAGGCAUAGCCGACCUGAGGGGGUGAUCGGCCACACUGGGACUGAGACACGGCCCAGACUCCUACGGGAGGCAGCAGUAGGGAAUCUUCCACAAUGGACGAAAGUCUGAUGGAGCAACGCCGCGUGAACGAUGAAGGCCUUCGGGUCGUAAAGUUCUGUUGUAAGGGAAGAACAAGUGCCGCAGGCAAUGGCGGCACCUUGACGGUACCUUGCGAGAAAGCCACGGCUAACUACGUGCCAGCCGCCGCCGUAA
RNAcentral lists this ribosomal RNA (524 nucleotides) under uncultured bacterium. RNAcentral's name for it is "partial 16S ribosomal RNA". It matches the Rfam family "Bacterial small subunit ribosomal RNA", at positions 28 to 523 of the family's 1533-position model. The record is from RNAcentral.